Callithrix jacchus (white-tufted-ear marmoset) is the source of this 2360-nucleotide long non-coding RNA. RefSeq lists it as uncharacterized. The record is from RefSeq and is a predicted model, not a curated record. Lineage: Eukaryota; Metazoa; Chordata; Mammalia; Primates; Cebidae.
UCUCUCCUGUUGCCUUCCAGUACCCAACCACCUCAGGCACCAACUUCACUGAAUGAAGAGGGAGCCUAGUUAACACGGGAAAGAGGAGGCUUGUAUUAGAGGAAGAGGAAUGUACUAGGUCACAGAAUGGGCAAGAAGAACAGGCAAUGAAGGAUUAUGGGAAGAGCAACUGAUUCAACGUGUGACUUUGUAAAUGGUUAUUCUAUCUGUUAGCCAGUUAAUAACUUAAUAUCAUUAAACCUCAGUCCCUUUCAUCUACAAAAUGGGUAUAAUAAUGUCUACAUAUCUGAUAUAACUGGUAAGUAGUUCAAUUCAGAUAAUAUAUAUAUAAAUACUCUAAACACAAGUUUAAAGGAAAUACCCUUAUCAUUCAUCAUUCCAACCUGUGAGAAUGGGUUUUUUAAAGUUCGCUCUGGAAAAAUGAUCAACCUUUCAAUUUACUAGUUACAAAAAGCAACUCUUACUAUGUAUUAUUCACUGCUGCUAAUAGCCUUAAAUGAUGAGAAUUUAUAAAUAACACAUUUUUGAGCUGCAUACUGAAGAUAAGGUUUAUACAAAGGAGCUCUGAAUAUAUUGUUCAGGCUUCACCUGGCAAACAACAACAUUGAAGACCAAAGAGGGUAACCAAGUAAGUACAGGAAAAAUAAAGUAGCUAGUAACGCUGAAUGAAAGUGAAGUGGUUACCUCCAGGAGAAUUUAGGCCAAAAUACCUGCUAUAGAACUUGAGUCCACAGAUUUGUAGUCUCCAUUGUGACUUAAGUAAAUGUUUGGCAUGGGUAUUUUCCUAGCAACCAUUUGUGUAUUCCUUCCCAUUCUUCUUCGCUGCUUCUCCUUACUCCCACUGACAAAGCAGUGAAGGUUUAUUGUUAAAACCAGGAGAUUCGGGCUUAGUCAGAUAUUGGUUUAAAUCUCAGUUCUGCCACUUGCUAGCCUUUGACCCUCUGCAAAUUAUUUAAUUUUUGAGUCUCAGGAUUCUCAUUUGCAAAAUGGAAUAAUAAUAGUAUUUAUAGCAUAGAGUCUGACACACAGUGUAUGCUGAAAAAGGACCAGUUAUAAUUGUUAGAGUAGAAAAUACACAGUUUGUUAAAGCACUCCUUCAAAACUCACUCCAGUAGUAUUCCCUGCUCCAAAACUAUCUUUUAUAUUUUUAAAAACGACCUGAGUAAAAUCCUCAGCAAAAAUCUUUUUAAAAAAUAUAUUUCCCACUAAUGUGGAAAUUACUUAUAUUUCCUAAACAAAAAUGGAAUUUAGGAUCAUGUCUAGGAGUAUCAGUGGCCAAAGGGAUGUAUCUACAAUAGUUUACUUUUAGACAGUGUGUGAUCAUUGGUAGGAAAAUAUUGGAGCCCUUCUGUAUUAGGAGUUCCUAAGAAGAUUUAGAAAUUACACAGCUUAACGAAUAGUUACAUAGUAACCUACUGCAAGACUUACAUGAAAUUUAUUAUAUUCUUUUAGCUCUUUAUCCAUUUAAGUAUAAAAUCUAACAAGCCAAGUCACUGUAGUUAUUAAGUGCCUAUGGUGCGCCUGAUAUGUUGGGUGUAGAAGGGCACAAUCAAUGAGGAUUAGGAUCUGUCUCCCUAUUAAUUGAUAAACAAAGAUGACUGUACUUUUCACACUUAAAGAGGAGUCAAGAUUCAAUAUAACAGUAUAGAAGGUGAUGUGAAGAAGAUUUAAACCAUGAUCAAUUAAGAAACAUUUGAGCCUCUAUUCUCUCAUCUAAAAUUUGCUUAAUACUGUAUUUUCCUUUCUUACUUCAUUGUGUUCCUGGCAGGAUCAAAUGAGAUCACAUGUGUAAAAGAGACUGUGUUAACUGUGUACAAAUAUUAGGUACUGAUGAAGUAUUCAUACUGCAAAAUGGGAAUGAAUGUUAUAGCAGUAGCAACCCACUGCAAGAUGGGAAACUGCCCAUAUGAACUGCAAGCAGAUAAACUCCAGGAACUUCCACCAAAGCACAUUGCCUGAUAUCAGCAGCACUACAAGCACACAUGAAGGGGAAACCUACCACCAUACUGCCUUUGGGUUGUUGUGAGGAUGAAAUAAAAAAUGUAAAUAAGGUUCUUAGUACAGUGACUGGCAUAUAGUAUUAUCAUCAUCCUUUUGCCACUGUUAUCAUAUUAAUAGUAAUAGUAAUCAAUAUGCAUAGAAUGGUUUGAACUAUGAUCUUGUUCUUUCACAGUUCUGGAGAAAGAACUGAAAGCAUUAGUAAAUUUCUAUUCUGAAGCCAGUUUAGAAGCCUCUGACUGCCACUGAAUAACCUGUGUAUCAGUAGACUGGAGCCUUCUUUCUACCAAAUUAUUGUUCUGUGUAAUGUAAUUUUUAAUGUUCAGCUCUGCAUGAGAAAAAUAAAUUGUUGUAAAUUUCAA